UGGUGUUGUAAUUGCUACCGAGAAGAAAUUACCAUCUAUCUUAGUUGAUGAAGCAUCUGUGCAGAAAAUUCAGACUUUGACAUCAAAUAUUGGAGUUGUGUACAGUGGCAUGGGUCCUGAUUCUCGAGUUUUGGUUCGGAAAAGUAGGAAGUCAGCUGAGCAAUAUUACCGACUCUAUAAAGAACCAAUCCCUGUCACUCAACUGGUG
RNAcentral lists this unclassified non-coding RNA (208 nucleotides) under Hevea brasiliensis (rubber tree). Lineage: Eukaryota; Viridiplantae; Streptophyta; Magnoliopsida; Malpighiales; Euphorbiaceae. The record is from RNAcentral.